GAUGAACGCUGGCGGCGUGCCUAAUACAUGCAAGUCGAGCGAACAGACGAGGAGCUUGCUCCUCUGACGUUAGCGGCGGACGGGUGAGUAACACGUGGGUAACCUACCUAUAAGACUGGGAUAACUUCGGGAAACCGGAGCUAAUACCGGAUAAUAUAUUGAACCGCAUGGUUCUAAAGUGAAAGACGGUUUUGCUGUCACUUAUAGAUGGACCCGCGCCGCAUUAGCUAGUUGGUAAGGUAACGGCUUACCAAGGCAACGAUGCGUAGCCGACCUGAGAGGGUGAUCGGCCACACUGGAACUGAGACACGGUCCAGACUCCUACGGGAGGCAGCAGUAGGGAAUCUUCCGCAAUGGGCGAAAGCCUGACGGAGCAACGCCGCGUGAGUGAUGAAGGUCUUCGGAUCGUAAAACUCUGUUAUUAGGGAAGAACAAAUGUGUAAGUAACUAUGCACGUCUUGACGGUACCUAAUCAGAAAGCCACGGCUAACUACGUG
Molecule: ribosomal RNA, 497 nt
Filed under: uncultured bacterium
Lineage: Bacteria
Description: partial 16S ribosomal RNA
Rfam family: Bacterial small subunit ribosomal RNA
Source: RNAcentral